Molecule: small nucleolar RNA, 128 nt
Organism: Phyllostomus hastatus (greater spear-nosed bat)
Lineage: Eukaryota; Metazoa; Chordata; Mammalia; Chiroptera; Phyllostomidae
Source: RefSeq, a predicted model, not a curated record
GUACACAUUUCAUUGUCCUUUUUCUUUCCAUCAAGAGAAAAGAUUUCUGAUGUGCUAAACAAAGCUGUGGAGAUAAAUUAGCAGCAUGAUUCAACUUAGCCAUCACUGCCAGUCACCUUCAGACAAGA